RNAcentral lists this ribosomal RNA (253 nucleotides) under uncultured bacterium. RNAcentral describes it as "partial 16S ribosomal RNA". It matches the Rfam family "Bacterial small subunit ribosomal RNA", at positions 524 to 776 of the family's 1533-position model. The record is from RNAcentral.
UGCGUAGGGUGCGAGCGUUAAUCGGAAUUACUGGGCGUAAAGCGUGCGCAGGCGGUUUUGUAAGCCAGAUGUGAAAUCCCCGGGCUUAACCUGGGAAUGGCAUUUGGGACUGCAAGGCUGGAGUGUGGCAGAGGAGACUGGAAUUCCUGGUGUAGCAGUGAAAUGCGUAGAUAUCAGGAGGAAUACCGAUGGCGAAGGCAGGUCUCUGGGCUGACACUGACGCUCAUGCACGAAAGCGUGGGGAGCAAACAGG